UACGGAGGGAGCUAGCGUUGUUCGGAAUUACUGGGCGUAAAGCGCGCGUAGGCGGCUUUGUAAGUUAGAGGUGAAAGCCCGGAGCUCAACUCCGGAACUGCCUUUAAAACUGCAUCGCUUGAAUCCGGGAGAGGUGAGUGGAAUUCCGAGUGUAGAGGUGAAAUUCGUAGAUAUCGGGAGGAACACCUGUGGCGAAAGCGGCGCACUGGACCACAACUGACGCUGAGGCGCGAAAGCUAGGGGAGCAAACAGG
Molecule: ribosomal RNA, 253 nt
Filed under: uncultured bacterium
Lineage: Bacteria
Description: partial 16S ribosomal RNA
Rfam family: Bacterial small subunit ribosomal RNA
Source: RNAcentral